Molecule: long non-coding RNA, 2283 nt
Filed under: Pogona vitticeps (central bearded dragon)
Lineage: Eukaryota; Metazoa; Chordata; Lepidosauria; Squamata; Agamidae
Description: lncRNA (ENSPVIG00000014212.1)
Source: RNAcentral
AUGCCCCCUCCACCAUCGGGCCCCUUCAGUCGCUGUGUCGUUUGCUCGGGCAAAAUCCCCUUCCAGGACGGGCACGACACCUGCCUUUUCUGCCUCGGCGAAUCGCACUCCCCCCAAAAUUGUGUGCAUUGCCAGGCCUUUACUAAAGCUGCCCUAAAGGCCCGACAGCAGAGACUUAAAUUACAUCUCUGGAACUCUGCCUUGUCGGCCUCCGAGCCCUCAUCCAUGGAGUUACCAUCUACCUCCUCCGCCUCCAUCUCAGAGGGAGCUGCACCGGCAGUUUCUAAGGCAGUGGACUUACCUCCUUCUAAACCAUCUAAGAAGGCUCCUAAAAAAUCUUCCAAGACCUCGUCUGUGGCCAAGCCUGUCAAGCAGACCAAGGCGAAGGGCUCAACAAGGUCUGCAGAUCCCAUUCCGCGGAUCUCGCCUAUUCCACCCGACAUCCCUUCCCCUAUUUUGGAGGAUUCGUCGAGAGGAAAGGACUCGACGUCGGGGGCGGCCACCCCCCUUCCUCCUCGACAAUCUGAGCCGGCUAUACCCCUUGGCGCUCCCUCUCUGACGCCAAGUCAGCUUGUAAGAAUAACAUCAAGCUUGGGUUCUGCCCAUGUAAGCCCUAUGUCAUCAGGGCGGGCUUCACCGGCUCCGUCGCUGUCUCCUGUGCCUUCUCGUUCCUCCUCACCGAGGAAGAAGUCCGAGAAAAGGAAACAUCUUUCUGAGGAUCGACAUCGGUCCCUUAGUAAACAUAGCAAGAGACGCCGGCACCACUCUCGACGUCGCUAUACCUCGACGUCGGAUGACUCCUCCUCCUCUGAGUCACGUCGAAGACGCCAUAAACGGCACUCUCGACGUCGGUCUCGCUCCUCCUCCUCAUCGACGUCGCCGGAACGGCGCCAUCGUCAUCGGAAAGUGAAGUACAUUUAUCUCUCUUCUUCUUCAUCGUCGGCGUCGACCCCUCCCCCGAAGAAACGUCGACGUCGUCACAAGAGGAAGACGGUAGAGGCCCCUCAGCCAGCUCCGCCCUCGGCUCCACCGAUAGUCCCCACUCCUCCUACCGGUUCGGCAUCGACAAUCCCACCUCCCCCUCCGCCCCCACCUUCUGUUCCUCCUACAGCUCCAAGCGCUCCCUGUCCACGUCCAAAGAAGACACAUGAUUUAUCUUCAGAUGAUGAUGCCCCCCCCUCAUCACAAGAACCUGACUCAGAUGAGGAGCCACCCCCACAACCUACGCCCCAAGAUUUACCAGAGGGGGAGACAGUGGAGUCAGACAUAGGCAAUCCUCAUGAUUCGUUUCCUUCUGAGGAUUUCACUUCCUAUGCACAAAUGCUUUCCAGGCUCGCCAAAACACUUAAGAUUCCUGUGGAUGAGCCAACUCCUCCCGAGGAGGACCUUAUCUUCGGUGACAUUACUAAAGACAGGUCAUCGCCUCCUAGUCUUUCCUUUCUACCUGCAUUGCUCAAAAUUGUCCACGAGUUUUGGGAGCACCCUUCUGCAUCGGUACCCCUUCCCAAAAGAACUGAGAGCAUGUACAAAAUUACUGGAGAUGAUGCAAAAUUUUUGCUUAAGCACCCCAUCCCCAACUCCCUCAUAGUGGAGACGAGUUGCACUAAGCCAUCAGGGAAGGUUCAUGUUAUCCCCACAAAUAAAGAGGGGAAGAAACUUGAGCUUAUUGGAAGACGCCUCUAUUCUUUAAUUACCUUCAUACUUAGGGUCGCUAACUACCAAACUGCCCUAGGAGCAUAUCAGAAACAGCUUUGGCUUAAAAUGCUUCCCGGCCUUCACAUGCUACCUGAUGAGGCCCGACAACCUUUCCUUAACACAUAUGAGGAGGCUCAAACAGUUUCGAAACAUCAGAGAAUUGCAACCAGACAUUCUGUCGAGGCAGCGGCAAGAAUUCUCGUUACUGCUGUUACCUUACGCAGGCAUGCGUGGUUACGCGCUGCAAACAUUUUUGAGGAUGUGAAGACUAAAGUUGAGGAUUUACUCUUUGAUUCUUUGGGUCUUUUCAUUGAAAAAACAGACACCCACCUUGAGGACUUACAUAAAGCAAAGAAAACUGCGAAGUCCUAUUACAUUCAGCCACAACCAAAGUUUAAUAGGUUUCAUUGGAAAAGGUCUUCCAACCAAUACAACCAACCCUCUCAACAAUUCAGACAGUUCAAGGACGCCUCACGAUCUGCAUCAUCUCAGAACUCCGCUGUUCCUUCUACUUACCGUGGUCACCAACCAUCCCAGCGACGUCAAUCUUACAAGCAACCUGCAAAGAAACACAGACAGUACCUUUGA